UAACGGCGAGUGAAGCGGCAACAGCUCAAAUUUGAAAUCUGGCUCUCUUUGGGGGUCCGAGUUGUAAUUUGCAGAGGAUGCUUUGGCAUUGGCGGCGGUCUAAGUUCCUUGGAACAGGACAUCACAGAGGGUGAGAAUCCCGUACGUGGUCGCCUGCCUUUGCCGUGUAAAGCUCCUUCGACGAGUCGAGUUGUUUGGGAAUGCAGCUCUAAAUGGGAGGUAAAUUUCUUCUAAAGCUAAAUACUGGCCAGAGACCGAUAGCGCACAAGUAGAGUGAUCGAAAGAUGAAAAGUACUUUGGAAAGAGAGUCAAAAAGCACGUGAAAUUGUUGAAAGGGAAGCGCUUGCAGCCAGACUUGCCCGCAGUUGCUCACCUAGGCUUUCGCCAUGGGGCACUCUUCUGCGGGCAGGCCAGCAUCAGUUUGGGCGGUUGGAUAAAGGCCUCUGUCACGUAUCACCCUUCGGGGUGACCUUAUAGGGGAGGCGUAAUGCAACCAGCCCGGACUGAGGUCCGCGCAUCUGCUAGGAUGCUGGCGUAAUGGCUGUAAGCGGCCCGUCUUGAAACACGGACCAAGGAGUCUAACAUCUAUGCGAGUGUUUGGGUGUCAAGCCCGAGCGCGUAAUGAAAGUGAACGGAGGUGGGAACCUUUUAGGUGCACCAUCGACCGAUCCUGAUGUCUUCGGAUGGAUUUGAGUAAGAGCAUAGCUGUUGGGACCCGAAAGAUGGUGAACUAUGCUUGAAUAGGGUGAAGCCAGAGGAAACUCUGGUGGAGGCUCGCAGCGGUUCUGACGUGCAAAUCGAUCGUCAAAUUUGGGCAUAGGGGCGAAAGACUAAUCGAACCAUCUAGUAGCUGGUUCUG
RNAcentral lists this ribosomal RNA (859 nucleotides) under Paraphaeosphaeria sorghi. RNAcentral's name for it is "Paraphaeosphaeria sp. TFN-2021a partial large subunit ribosomal RNA". It matches the Rfam family "Eukaryotic large subunit ribosomal RNA", at positions 84 to 959 of the family's 3401-position model. The record is from RNAcentral. Lineage: Eukaryota; Fungi; Ascomycota; Dothideomycetes; Pleosporales; Didymosphaeriaceae.